UACGUAGGGUGCGAGCGUUAAUCGGAAUUACUGGGCGUAAAGCGUGCGCAGGCGGUUUUGUAAGUCAUAUGUGAAAUCCCCGGGCUUAACCUGGGAAUGGCAUUUGGGACUGCAAGGCUCGAGUGCGGCAGAGGAGACUGGAAUUCCUGGUGUAGCAGUGAAAUGCGUAGAUAUCAGGAGGAACACCGAUGGCGAAGGCAGGUCUCUGGGCUGACACUGACGCUCAUGCACGAAAGCGUGGGGAGCAAACAGG
RNAcentral lists this ribosomal RNA (253 nucleotides) under uncultured bacterium. RNAcentral's name for it is "partial 16S ribosomal RNA". It matches the Rfam family "Bacterial small subunit ribosomal RNA", at positions 524 to 776 of the family's 1533-position model. The record is from RNAcentral.